GACGAACGCUGGCGGCGUGCCUAAUGCAUGCAAGUCGAGCGGGCUACAGUCUUCGGAUUGUAGCUUAGCGGCGAACGGGUGAGUAACACGUAGGUAAUCUACCCUUCAGAGGAGGACAACCUCAGGAAACUGAGGCUAAACCUUCAUACGUUCACUGGUAGGGAUACUGGUGAAGAAAGAGUUACCGUUGAGGUGGCUGCUGAAGGAUGAGCCUGCGGCCCAUCAGGUAGUUGGUGAGGUAACGGCUCACCAAGCCGAAGACGGGUAACCGGUCUGAGAGGAUGUCCGGUCACACUGGGACUGAGACACGGCCCAGACUCCUACGGGAGGCAGCAGCAGGGAAUCUUGGGCAAUGGGCGAAAGCCUGACCCAGCGACGCCGCGUGGAGGAAGAAGUCCUUCGGGGCGUAAACUCCUGGACUGGGGACGAGUAAGGACGGGUACCCAGUAGAAGGGACGGCUAACUACGUGCCAGCAGCCGCGGUAAAGUACUCCUAU
RNAcentral lists this ribosomal RNA (497 nucleotides) under uncultured bacterium. RNAcentral's name for it is "bacterial SSU rRNA". It matches the Rfam family "Bacterial small subunit ribosomal RNA", at positions 28 to 530 of the family's 1533-position model. The record is from RNAcentral.